This 468-nucleotide ribosomal RNA is filed under the name uncultured bacterium. RNAcentral describes it as "partial 16S ribosomal RNA". It matches the Rfam family "Bacterial small subunit ribosomal RNA", at positions 28 to 507 of the family's 1533-position model. The record is from RNAcentral.
GACGAACGCUGGCGGCGUGCUUAACACAUGCAAGUCGAACGGAAAGGCCCUGCUUUUGUGGGGUGCUCGAGUGGCGAACGGGUGAGUAACACGUGAGUAACCUGCCCUUGACUUUGGGAUAACUUCAGGAAACUGGGGCUAAUACCGGAUAGGAGCUCCUGCUGCAUGGUGGGGGUUGGAAAGUUUCGGCGGUUGGGGAUGGACGCGCGGCUUAUCAGCUUGUUGGUGGGGUAGUGGCUUACCAAGGCUUUGACGGGUAGCCGGCCUGAGAGGGUGGCCGGCCACAUUGGGACUGAGAUACGGCCCAGACUCCUACGGGAGGCAGCAGUGGGGAAUAUUGCACAACGGGCGGAAGCCUGAUGCAGAAACGCCGCGUGCGGGAUGACGGCCUUCGGGUUGUAAACCGCUUUCGCCUGUGACGAAGCGUGAGUGACGGUAAUGGGUAAAGAAGCACCGGCUAACUACGUG